UACGUAGGCGGUUAAAUAAGUCAGGUGUAAAAGGCAUUGGCUCAACCAAUGUAAGCACUUGAAACUGUUUGACUUGAGUAUAGGAGAGGUAAGUGGAAUUCCUAGUGUAGCGGUGAAAUGCGUAGAUAUUAGGAGGAACACCAGUGGCGAAGGCGACUUACUGGACUAUUACUGACGUUGAGGUACGAAAGCGUGGGGAGCAAACA
This 206-nucleotide ribosomal RNA is filed under the name uncultured bacterium. Its description in RNAcentral is "partial 16S ribosomal RNA". It matches the Rfam family "Bacterial small subunit ribosomal RNA", at positions 568 to 774 of the family's 1533-position model. The record is from RNAcentral.